Molecule: ribosomal RNA, 380 nt
Filed under: uncultured eukaryote
Lineage: Eukaryota
Description: partial 18S ribosomal RNA
Rfam family: Eukaryotic small subunit ribosomal RNA
Source: RNAcentral
CAAUAGCGUAUAUUAAAGCUGUUGCGGUUAAAAGCUCGUAGUUGGAUUUCUGUCAAGGACAACUGGUCCGCCCUCCGGGUGAGCACAUAGUUUGGUCUUGACAUCUUGCUGGAAGCUGUUGCUGCACUUGGCUGUGUGGCGCAGUGUUCAGCACUUUCACUUUGAGGAAAUUGGAGUGUUUCAAGCAGGCACAUGCCUUUGGACACAGUAGCAUGGAAUAAUUAGAUUGGGCUUUUGCUCCAAUUUGUCGGUUUCUGGAGCUGAGGUGAGUAUUAAUGGGGAUUGUUGGGGGCAUCCGAAUUUAGCCGUCAGAGGUGAAAUUCUUGGAUCUGCUAAAGACGGACAACUGCGAAAGCGUUUGCCCAGGAUGUUUUCAUUGA